UUUUUCUUUUUUUUUUUUUUGAAGUAUAGUUGAUUUACAAUGUUGUGUCAAUUUCUGCUGUACUGUAUAGUUACCCAGUCAUACAAAUAUAUACAUUCUUUUUCUCAUACUAUCUUCCAUCAUGUUCUACCUCAAGUUCCCUAUGCUAUACAGUAGGACCCCAUUGCUUAUCCAUUCUAAAUGUAAUAGUUUGCAUCUACCAACCCCAAAUUCCCAGACCAUCACACUUCCUCUCCACUGGCAACCAUGAGUCUGUUCUCCAUGUCCAUGAUCUGUUUGAUAGAUAGGAUCACUUGUGCCAUAUUUCAGAUUCCACAUAUAAUGGGAGAAAAUCUUUGCAAACAAUGCAACAGACAGUGGCCUAUUCUCCAAAAUAUACAAACAGCUCACAAAAUUCAAUAACAACAACAAAAAACCCAAUCAAAAAAUGGGUAGGAGACCUAAACAAACAUUUCUUCAAAAAAUAUAUUUGGUUGGCCAGCAGGCACAUGAAAAAAAUGUUCACAUCACAAAUUGCUAGAGAAAUGUAAAUCAAAAUUACAAUGAGGUACCAUUCAGAAUGGCCAUUAUUAAUAAGUCAACAAAUAACAAAUGCCAGAGAGGGUAUGGAGAAAAGGGAAUCCUCCUUCACUGUUGGUGGGAAUAUAAAUUGUUACAACCACUAUGGAAAUCAGUAUGGAAGUUCCUUGGAAGACUAAAUACAGAAAGAACUUACAAAUGAUUUGGCAACCCCACUCCUGGGUGUACAUCAGACAAAACUUUCAUUACAAAAGACAUGUGCACCCCUAUGUUCAUAGCAGCACUAUUCACAAUAGCCAAGACACAGAAACAACCUUAAAAUCCAUCAACAGAUGAACGGAUUAAGAAAAUGUGGUACAUGGAAUUCCCAUCGUGGCACAGUGGAAACGAAUCUAAGAACAAUGGGGUUGCUGGUUCGAUCCCUGGCCUUGCUCAGUGCGUUAAGGUCCAGUGUUGCCAUGAGCUGUAGGGCUCGCAGAUGUGGCUCGGAUCCCAAGUGGCUGUGGCUCUGGCGUAAGCCAGCAGCAACAGCUCUGAUUAGACCCCUAGUCUGGGAAGAUCCAUAUGACACAGGCGCAGCCAUAAAAGGCAAAAGACAGGAAAAAAAAAAGAAAUUGUGGUACAUAUAUAUAAUGGAAUACUACUCAGCCAUAAAAAGGACAAGAUGAUGCCAUUUUCAGCAACAUGGAUGGGACUAGAGAUUCUCAUAUUAAGUGAAGUAAAUCAGCAAGAGAAAGACAAAUACCAUAUGCCCCUGUUUUUUUUUUUUUUUUUUUUUUUUUGUCUUUGAUAUUUCUUUGGGCCACUCCCAUGGCAUAUGAAGGUUCCCAGGCUAGGGGUCCAAUCGGAGCUAUAGCCACCAGCCUACGCCAGAGCCACAGCAAUGCAGGAUCCGAGCC
Molecule: long non-coding RNA, 1418 nt
Filed under: Sus scrofa (pig)
Lineage: Eukaryota; Metazoa; Chordata; Mammalia; Artiodactyla; Suidae
Description: lncRNA (ENSSSCG00065014832.1)
Source: RNAcentral